RNAcentral lists this ribosomal RNA (487 nucleotides) under uncultured Pseudomonadota bacterium. Its description in RNAcentral is "bacterial SSU rRNA". It matches the Rfam family "Bacterial small subunit ribosomal RNA", at positions 355 to 833 of the family's 1533-position model. The record is from RNAcentral. Lineage: Bacteria; Pseudomonadati; Pseudomonadota.
UGGGGAAUCUUGCGCAAUGGGCGAAAGCCUGACGCAGCCAUGCCGCGUGAGUGACGAAGGCCUUCGGGUUGUAAAGCUCUGUUCAGGGGGACGAACACCUGGGGUAGGAUAAUGACCUCAGCCUGACGGUACCCCUGCAGCAAGCACCGGCUAACUCCGUGCCAGCAGCCGCGGUAAUACGGAGGGUGCAAGCGUUGUUCGGAAUUACUGGGCGUAAAGCGCGUGUAGGCGGUGGUGUAAGUCGGGUGUGAAAGCCCUGGGCUCAACCCAGGAAUUGCGCUCGAAACCGCAUGACUGGAGUACGGGAGAGGGGUGUGGAAUUCCUGGUGUAGAGGUGAAAUUCGUAGAUAUCAGGAGGAACACCGGCGGCGAAGGCGACACCCUGGACCGAUACUGACGCUGAGACGCGAAAGCGUGGGGAGCAAACAGGAUUAGAUACCCUGGUAGUCCACGCCGUAAACGAUGGGCACUAGAUGGUGCGGGUGUU